GCAUGGUGGUGCACACCUGUAGUCCUAGCUACUUGGGAGGCUGAGGCAGGAGGAUCACUUGGGUCCAGGAGUUCUGGGCUGCAGUGCGCUAUGCUGAUCGGCUGUCCUCACUAAGUUGAGCAUCAAUAUGGGGACCUCCUGGGACCACCAGGAUGCCUAAGGAGGGGUGAACCAGCCCAAGUGGGAAACAGAACAGGUCAAAACUCCCUUGCUGAUCAGAAUGGAAAAAGCUCAAAAGUGUCUGCUGGAGUUUCAACCAGCAGUUUUUAAAAAGUACGUU
RNAcentral lists this signal recognition particle RNA (280 nucleotides) under Castor canadensis (American beaver). RNAcentral's name for it is "Metazoan signal recognition particle RNA (ENSCCNG00000011428.1)". It matches the Rfam family "Metazoan signal recognition particle RNA". Rfam says of the family: The signal recognition particle (SRP) is a universally conserved ribonucleoprotein. It is involved in the co-translational targeting of proteins to membranes. The eukaryotic SRP consists of a 300-nucleotide 7S RNA and six proteins: SRPs 72, 68, 54, 19, 14, and 9. The record is from Rfam by way of RNAcentral. Lineage: Eukaryota; Metazoa; Chordata; Mammalia; Rodentia; Castoridae.